CUCAUCAGGGCAAGAAGAUUUUAGGAUUGACAGAUUGAGAGUUCUUUCUUGAUUGGUCUAGUGGUGGUGCAUGGCCGUUCUUAGUUGGUGGAGUGAUUUGUCUGGUUAAUUCCGUUAACGAACGAGACCUUAACCUGCUAACUAGUGUUCCGAUCUCAAAUCGGAAGCACUUCUUAGAGGGACUAUGUGAUGUAAUCACAUGGAAGUUUGAGGCAAUAACAGGUCUGUGAUGCCCUUAGAUGUCCUGAGCUGCACGCGUACUACAAUGGCACUUUCAACGAGUUUUUCCUGAUCCGAAAGGAUUUGGGUAAUCUUUUUAGUGAGUGCCGUGAUUGGGAUAGAUCUUUGUAAUUGUGGAUCUUGAACUAGGAAUUCCUAGUAAGCGCGAUUCAUCAAAUCGUGCUGAUUACGUCCCUGCAAAAUGUACACACCGCCCGUCGCUUUUACCGAUUGAGUGUUCAGGUGAGUCUUCUUGAUAGUUGCAAAAUUAGAAAUUAAACAAACCUUAGCACUUAGAGGAGAAAGAAGUCGUAACAAGGUUUCCGUAGGUGAACCUGCGGAAGGAUCA
This 568-nucleotide ribosomal RNA is filed under the name Vorticella sp. 4 JG-2011. RNAcentral describes it as "SSU rRNA". It matches the Rfam family "Eukaryotic small subunit ribosomal RNA", at positions 1214 to 1828 of the family's 1831-position model. The record is from RNAcentral. Lineage: Eukaryota; Ciliophora; Oligohymenophorea; Sessilida; Vorticellidae.